AGCUUCAGCCUAGCUCAGUCGGUAGAGCAUGAGGCUCCUUAAAUCUCAGGAUCGUGGGUUUGAGCCCCACAUUGCAGGAGGUUG
Molecule: non-coding RNA, 84 nt
Organism: Podarcis lilfordi (Lilford's wall lizard)
Lineage: Eukaryota; Metazoa; Chordata; Lepidosauria; Squamata; Lacertidae
Source: the annotation of a GenBank genome assembly